UAUAGACCACAAUUCGUGAAUAGAAACCCUUUUAAUAAAGAAAUGCUGAAAUAUAUUUUUACGCAUCUCACUUCAUCAAAAUGCUGUUCACCGCCAACAUAACAUAAAAUAUGACUACCGUUUAUUUUCUAACAUCUUAGUCACACAAAUAACCAAGAUUUACGAGUUACAAUUUUUCACUCAACCAAGUAAUAACAGCAGAAAAAAUAUAACAAAAACAACAACAAUUUAAUUAACCAUGCUUCGACGCUGACACAUAAAACUGUCGGCAUUUUGUUCAAGCUCUGACAUAAUAAAUCCCUCGCAAACAAGUAAGAAAAUUACACAAAGCAAAAGAAAACGGGAUCGCAGCAAAGAGCUUAAAAUGUCACUUGUAGCGGGUUGAAAUUCUUAGAAAAUAAAAGCUACAAUAUUUGUGUUCAAUAAAUUAUGCCGAAGAGCAGUAAAAAGAACGCAACUAGUCAAAGAAGAAAAUUGGAAACACACAAACUAGAAUGCUAGCAAGCGUGGGAAAAACUCCGUUGGAUAUACAUAUACAUAAAUAAUAGAGCAGAGAUGUGAGAAGUUAAUGGUGGGGUAAGAAAAUUGUAGUAAAGAAACAUAAAGAAAAUGCAGAAAACGUUUGGAUUACAGCAACGUUGAUCGGAAUGAGAAAUAAGUUAGUAGGCAAGUAUACAUGUUAACCAAAAAACAGUUCAAAGCGGAGUUAAACAUUUACAGCGCACUUUAGAAUUAAUUAAUACUCAUCGCUUGCGAAAGAUACUUAAAUAUACCGAAAGUCCGUAGACCUCUACGUAUCGGAAGCAACCCGGAGAUCGUUACGCAAACCUCUUUGGCUGUUAUAUAUGUAUAUCAUAAAGCUUUGGUGCAACCGAAGUUCUUGUUUUUCUUUUGCAAAUGCCUCUGAAGUUUUAGUUUUUGUGCCAAAAAAAGUAUCCAUCGCUUUUUAUUUUCAAUUCAUUUCAAAAUUAUAUACAGUAUUUUUAAUAUUUUUAUACACAUUUCAACAGUAAAUCAAUUUUGAUGUAAACGAUUGGAAAAAAUUAAAAUAUCUUGUUUUUGAGCAGUCAAAAAAAAAAAACUUUAAAUGCAGUUAUCAAGCAGUUUUUAAAGAAAAAAUGGUGAAUAAACAAAGUUCUCAAGAUUUACAGGCUCUGGUAGUUAAAUAUGCUAAAUUCAAAAAGAGUGGUGGAGUUGGAAGACUUGAUUGUAGUGGAAAAUUUGCACGCCCCAGGCUAAAAGUAAAGUAAAGGAAUAACAAGGAACAUUCCACAAUAUCAGCUGUCGCUAAUGCCAAGGAGUUGGCGGAACAAAACUCCACCCUCAAACUGUUCCGAACAUCUCGCUUUCAACCGAUUUUAGAGCGUAUCACGUGGCACCACGACACAAGCCACAAUUAGAAAUAUUGUAUAACAUUUACUAUAAUUCAACGGGUACAUCCAAUGUGAUAACGAAUUUAGAGAUUCUGUAAUUUUUACAGAUGAGUCCAAAAUUAAUUUAUUUGGAAAAAAUGCCGUCGGUAAUCUUGUUUUCAUCGAAUUAUGUAAACAAUGGACUAUAAGCAAUAUUAAAAAAAUAGUUUGGCUCCGUCAGCAGCUAAACUCAAUUUAAAUGGUGCUUUAUUGGUUAAGAAAUGGUUGUGAAAAUAGUGCUGCAACAUCCUUCUCAGAGUUCAGAACCCAAUCCCAUUCAAUACUAUACCAUUGUGAGGCUAUAUGGAGACGAAGUUACGACAGCGCAAAGUUAAUAGCAAAAUUAAGGUUAAAGCCGCUGUUCAGGAAAUAUGGGUUAUUUAGUACCCUGCUGAACUUACAAAAAAUUUGGUGCAUUUCAUGAACAAAAGACAGCAAACUAUGAUAGAGUGCAAAGGUACACAUACCAAGCAUAAUUUUUCCUUAAAGAGUGUUAAAAUGUCAAAUUAUGCAAAUUGUACAAGUUUUUUUUUAUCUUCGAAAAUGGAGUUAUUUUGGAGACUGAUCAUCAAAAAUAAAUUUCAAUUACAUUAUGAAAAUUAA
Long non-coding RNA from Bactrocera oleae (olive fruit fly), 2015 nucleotides. RefSeq lists it as uncharacterized. The record is from RefSeq and is a predicted model, not a curated record. NCBI's taxonomy places the organism in Eukaryota, Metazoa, Arthropoda, Insecta, Diptera, Tephritidae.